RNAcentral lists this ribosomal RNA (427 nucleotides) under uncultured bacterium. RNAcentral describes it as "bacterial SSU rRNA". It matches the Rfam family "Bacterial small subunit ribosomal RNA", at positions 355 to 774 of the family's 1533-position model. The record is from RNAcentral.
UGGGGAAUUUUGGACAAUGGACGCAAGUCUGAUCCAGCCAUACCGCGUGCGGGAAGAAGGCCUUCGGGUUGUAAACCGCUUUUGUCAGGGAAGAAACGAGUUUCUCUAAUACAGAGACUUAAUGACGGUACCUGAAGAAUAAGCACCGGCUAACUACGUGCCAGCAGCCGCGGUAAUACGUAGGGUGCAAGCGUUAAUCGGAAUUACUGGGCGUAAAGCGUGCGCAGGCGGUUAUGCAAGACAGAUGUGAAAUCCCCGGGCUCAACCUGGGAACUGCAUUUGUGACUGCAUAGCUGGAGUGCGGCAGAGGGGGAUGGAAUUCCGCGUGUAGCAGUGAAAUGCGUAGAUAUGUGGAGGAACACCGAUGGCGAAGGCAGCCCCCUGGGUCAAGAUUGACGCUCAUGCACGAAAGCGUGGGGAGCAAACA